Molecule: ribosomal RNA, 437 nt
Filed under: uncultured Clostridiales Family IV bacterium
Lineage: Bacteria; Bacillati; Bacillota; Clostridia; Eubacteriales; Eubacteriales Family IV. Incertae Sedis
Description: bacterial SSU rRNA
Rfam family: Bacterial small subunit ribosomal RNA
Source: RNAcentral
ACGGAAGGCAGCAGUGGGGAAUAUUGCACAAUGGAGGAAACUCUGAUGCAGCAACGCCGCGUGGAGGAAGAAGGUCUUCGGAUUGUAAACUCCUGUUUUUAGUGACGAAACAAAUGACGGUAGCUAAAGAGGAAGCCACGGCUAACUACGUGCCAGCAGCCGCGGUAAUACGUAAGUGGCAAGCGUUGUCCGGAUUUACUGGGUGUAAAGGGUGCGCAGGCGGGACUGCAAGUUGGAUGUGAAAUACCGAGGCUCAACCUCGGAGCUGCAUCCAAAACUGUAGUUCUUGAGUGAAGUAGAGGUAAGCGGAAUUCCGAGUGUAGCGGUGAAAUGCGUAGAUAUUCGGAGGAACACCAGUGGCGAAGGCGGCUUACUGGGCUUUAACUGACGCUGAGGCACGAAAGCAUGGGUAGCAAACAGGAUUAGAUACCCUGGUA